UACGAAGGGGGCUAGCGUUGUUCGGAAUUACUGGGCGUAAAGGGCGCGUAGGCGGCUCUGUAAGUCUGAUGUGAAAGACCUGGGCUUAACCUGGGAACUGCAUUGGAUACUAUAGAGCUAGAGGGUGUGAGAGGAAAGUGGAAUGACGAGUGUAGAGGUGAAAUUCGUAGAUAUUCGUUGGAACACCAGAGGCGAAGGCGGCUUUCUGGCACACUACUGACGCUAAGGCGCGAAAGCGUGGGGAGCAAACAGG
This 253-nucleotide ribosomal RNA is filed under the name uncultured bacterium. RNAcentral's name for it is "partial 16S ribosomal RNA". It matches the Rfam family "Bacterial small subunit ribosomal RNA", at positions 524 to 776 of the family's 1533-position model. The record is from RNAcentral.